AGUGAACGCUGGCGGUAGGCCUAACACAUGCAAGUCGAACGGCAGCACAGUAAGAGCUUGCUCUUACGGGUGGCGAGUGGCGGACGGGUGAGGAAUACAUCGGAAUCUACUUUUUCGUGGGGGAUAACGUAGGGAAACUUACGCUAAUACCGCAUACGACCUACGGGUGAAAGCAGGGGAUCUUCGGACCUUGCGCGAUUGAAUGAGCCGAUGUCGGAUUAGCUAGUUGGCGGGGUAAAGGCCCACCAAGGCGACGAUCCGUAGCUGGUCUGAGAGGAUGAUCAGCCACACUGGAACUGAGACACGGUCCAGACUCCUACGGGAGGCAGCAGUGGGGAAUAUUGGACAAUGGGCGCAAGCCUGAUCCAGCCAUACCGCGUGGGUGAAGAAGGCCUUCGGGUUGUAAAGCCGUUUUGUUGGGAAAGAAAAGCAGCAGGUUAAUACCCCGCUGUUCUGACGGUACCCAAAGAAUAAGCACCGGCUAACUUCGUG
This 492-nucleotide ribosomal RNA is filed under the name uncultured bacterium. RNAcentral's name for it is "partial 16S ribosomal RNA". It matches the Rfam family "Bacterial small subunit ribosomal RNA", at positions 29 to 507 of the family's 1533-position model. The record is from RNAcentral.